This is a non-coding RNA of Paramormyrops kingsleyae, 5287 nucleotides long. The record is from RefSeq and is a predicted model, not a curated record. NCBI's taxonomy places the organism in Eukaryota, Metazoa, Chordata, Actinopteri, Osteoglossiformes, Mormyridae.
UCAUGCAAAUUAGCUUUCUCGAAAGAUAAGGUGCAGCGUGUCCUUGCUGAAGGGCUGAGAGGGACAAAGCCAUUGACAGGGAUGAAGCAGAAGCUGCUGGGAUUGUGGGGGAAAAAGGUGUAGCACCAGCAGAAGAUCAUAGCAUCUGCAGAUUCUUCUAUGACCUAUUCAUACAGGUCCAGCACAAAGGUCCCGGAUGAGAAGAUGCAGGCGAAAUGGCAGCUUCCUCUCUGAAACCGCAACUGUCUCCUGCUGAUGGUCUAUUUUGACUGAGAAGUGAUGAAAAGAAACUGGCUGAACAAUCCCCACAUUCUGGGUACCUCGAGGAUCGAGGAGUCCCGGGAAAAAGUGGCAGCUGGAGUGCAUGCAGGCGCGGGUGGCGGAGCCAGGUACCUGCAUGUGACAGCACCGCAGCGAGCCGGCUGAGUGUCUCGUUUUCCCAGAGGACUGUGUGCUGAGUGAUGUCGCAGUGUAGCUCAGGAAGGCUAACGUAGAGGAGAACUCUUCAUGUGAGAGGCGACUUGGCAGGGCAGCACCUUGGAGAUUAACACUGAAGCAUGUUCCAUGAAAAGACAAAGUCUUGGAGCCAUUGGGGUGGAUUACUGUCAGUAUGGAGCUGCAGAAAGGUAGAGGGAGGCAGUAAUUCCUAUACAAAGGUAGACAAAUACAUAGUCUGUGACUAAAAACUUUCCCUGCUGAGAUCCAUUGUCUCAGAGUUUCUCUGUCUUUUGAGGGUCCCUGUCACCACUGAUAAAGACCUCAGCUCCAGCCAAAGCCAAAGUCUAGGUGAUGCAGAAGCGUAAUGGGGUAGCGAGCUAAGGCUAUAGCGCUUGGUGAUGGGACUUAGAUGGUUGCUUGCUGGAGUGGGAGCUCCGUGUCUCGGGCGACCCAUCGGAGGAUCGCGAAGCGGAGUCUGGGGGUUGCCCGGCAUGGCCGGCGGAAAAAAGGCUGCUCGAAGAGGGGCUCCUUCGGAUGGGCGGACGCGGCACCUUUUUCCUGCCACUCAGUGUACCACAAGAGGGGAGUCCAGUCGGGCAAUGAACGCAAGCAUCGCGUUAAAGGAUGUGCGGGGAACCCUCUACAACUCAAAACUUUGGUGCCUGUGUUCGUUUCCCUGAAGGGCAGAGAUAGGACGCCAAAUAUAGCGACGAUUUUCAUCAAGGUAGUUUUCAUUUGCUAUUUUAAAAAACGCUGUUUUUCUUUUUUUGUCUCUCAGUACUUAAUGGAUUUGUCGACUUCGGAGACUGUUCGAUAUUGUGUAAUAUAAUACAUAUUGUAUUGUAUUAAAACGGUAGACCUUUUAGACCUAAUAAAUAAUUAGGAUUUCACGUGGUUUGAUAAGAAAAUGUGAAAAUAAACGCAAAUCAUUAAAAAAUGGAGCAGAGCAACACAUCACAUGUUAUUAUAUCAGCGCCUCUGGCAAUAUAACAAACACCGCUAUAUUAAAGCGCCAUAUUAGGCCUUCGACCAUUUAAAAUUAAUUUUCAAUUCAUUUCAAAUAAUUUAAUUUUAUAAAGAUAUUUCAAUGUGUUACUUAUAUACCUAAUAUAUUUAGCUUUAAGGAGUGUCAAGCCUUUUCCAAUGAAUGAUUUCUGUCUAACCGCUACAUCCAUUAAAAACAAGCUAAAGACCGAAGCAAGACUCAUUUUCAUAUUAGCAUUAGCCUGUAUUUAUUCAUAACUAACAUCUUCAAUAAUAAUAUUCUAUUAGAACACCUUUUCACUAACGUAUCUGUAUAUAAAUAUGCCUAUAUGUAUUAUCUUAAAAUUUAAUGGCGAUAAGGUCAUCCCGUUUUGCUGCCCGUUUAAAAAAGAUAAUGAGGUAAAACAACAACAAUAAUAAAUAGCAUUUAAAAAGUGAAGGGUAUUACAAUGUUUAGCUGAACUGCAGACGUAGAUUAGCAGAGUUCCCUGCCAGGCCUGGGAAGCUGCUAUUACACUGCAUCUCAAGGGAGAAGGGCUCGCAUUAACCGCUAAAUGAAUAUUUGACUAGGGCUCAUUCCCAAGUAUUAUUUCUACAAACGUGUCCCUGCUGGACUUUCAAAGGGUCAGGGAGCAGUGGUUCAAUUAAUUAUUUAUACAACUAGUGGACCGGGUUGUAAUAGCGGAACAUGUUUCUUGAACUAGUAACUUUAAUGAUCGAAUGGUGCAUAUAUUUUAUAGACUUUGAUGCGCUUCAUCCUAUUAGUACUAUUUAUAAAAAAUGCUUACUUGCAUACGUUUAGAGUAUCAUAUUUAUUUUCUUUCAUUUAGAAGAAAAAUAGAUUGAACAUGUUUAAAUUAACUAUAGUAUAUGAAAACUAUACAGCUCAGCCUCACAUUUAUUUUUUUAACGCUGAUAUUUUCGUAAAUAAUUAAAGUGUGAGUAUUAAUAUGCUAGACGCCGGGGAAACAUUUUUUUAUUAUGUUUGUAUAUGUUUUAAUUAAUUUUAUGCAUAAUGGCGAGUGGGAGUAUUUAUUACAGGUAUUGGAACUUUCUUUAAAACAUAUAAAGCGGUCUAAAAUUACAACUAAACUUCUGCAGUCUUCAGCUUUAUAGGAAGUGUACUGGACCCCCACUGAGGUUUUGUGACUUGCAAAGUCGUCCGAGAAGACAUGGCGUUGCCCCCGGCGCACAUACAAGCCUGUCCUGCAGUAGCGACGCGAUCCUCAUUCAUAGUCAUUACGAGAAGAAACUGAAAAUGCAUUGUCAGGUUUGCGUUCAGCCCGUUAGAUGUGUGUUUCUGCUCUCGGUACACUGCUCAGAUGUUACUGUAAAUAAUGGAAAUGUGUACAUCAGUGACAUUUGUUUGAAUAAUCGUAGUUUUGCACUGUGUACUCAAGUCAUAAACCUGCGUUUUUGUGUUUUCUGUAUGUUGCACCAGAAAUACUGAAUUUUGUAAUUCGAUAUAUCAUUCUCUAUGCAACAGGAUCAGGAUAAAACUGAGAAGACCAGGAGACUUCAGGAAAGUGAAAAGUGUAUUGCGACAGCACACAUUGGAAGGGUGGUGACAUUUUAAGACUAAUAUGAGCAGCAACAGGUGGUACUGGGAGUGCCAUGUGCAGCUGGGAUGGCACAGAUCCUGACGCAGUGCAGGCCUGUGACAGAGCUGUGUGGGAACAGCACCAGCAGAUGUCAUGGUAGCAUGCAAAGAGGCCCCCAACUCCUAGACCGGCUGCUCCUCUUCGUACACCUGGACUGGGGUGCUGCCCCCCCGGGGACUCCCAUGAUGCACCGGUGGGCCGAAACCAGGGUCGCAAGUCGAAUGUCGCCAGGCUUCCCCACCUGACGGAAACCCAUCGUCUGUGCUCCACUCUGCCGGAAAUGAGAGCAUUGCCCUUAGGAGCAGCCUGUGCAUGGCGAUCGCUGCAUGGUAUGUGCUGUUUCCUUCAUGACAUUUUUUUUUUGUUGAUGGAGGAUGCCUACAGCCCACACUGUACAUGCCAUUUAUUUCCCAUUAUCCUUUUGUUUUGCUCUGCAGUUGGAAAGUAUGCAUCUGCCCACUGCUGCCUCUCAAUGUUAGCAAUUUCUUUCUUAACCUGGGCUGACACAGUGCUCUAGACUUUUCUUGCUAGAAAUUUCUGUGAGUAUCAUCACCAGGGUGCCUGGUGAAUACGCACAGCGUCAGACCUGUGGCCUGCUAAAAAGGACACAACUGGAGGACCUGCACAUUUCUCAUGCAGGGACGGUGGCUACAUGUUUAGCCCCUGAAUCCCGCCCCUUCAGUCUCCCCACCACCAAUACCACUGACAGUCACAGAUCAGGGGUCAUUCAGAGUGGCCCGGCCAGCUCAUUUGAACUGAUGCGUGAUUCUCAGCCAUGCAGAACUUAUGCAAAUCUAUACUGUCGAGGUUAUUAUUCACAUUCAAAGACUUGAAUUGUUUGCUGUUGAGUACUGUUAAAUUAAAAAGGUGUUUAGCACAUUGUCUCAGGUGGGCUUUGUUCAAAUACUUGUUGUUGUCAAUGUAAAAUAUGCUUUUCAUUGUAUUCUCUUGUUGCAGAGAAGCACGAGCACCCACACCUAUUGGCCAAGUUCUAGGACCUUUCAUGCUGACUAAGCAUCUUCACACAUGAAUUUGAAUAAUUUAUAUGACCAGAUGAGACAUCCACUUUUAAAAGUUAAUAUUUAUAAUAAACAAUUACAAAGAACUUGAUGUAUCUUUUCAUUUAUUUGUGGGAUAAUAGGUGGAUAUUUUAUUUUAUGGUGUUUAUUGUGUGGUGCCACUGUGUUUACACAGUGAUACACUAUAUCAUUGCCUUUCCAUUCCAUCCAUCCAGCCAUCCAAAUGCUUAUUGUGUAUAUGGUAGUUUAUGGUACACGCUCGAUUGAAUGCCAGUCAUAUUUUGGAUUCUAAGGAAUAUUUAAAUUAUUUUUAAAUGUAUGGUCUAAAGAUAAGAAAUGGGACUAAGUGACCGUCCAUCCAUCUUCUAAUUGCUUUGGGAGUUUCAUUAGUCUACCUUGCGAAAUAGCUGGAGUUCAGAUAUGCUAUGGUCCACCAUGGCUCCAGCAAACAUUCCUUUAUUCAUCCUAAGAGUCAUUUUUAAAGGCCUAACCCAAUUUGAGUCUUUCAUAAGGUCUGUUAUAUCACAAUUUUUAUAGAAUUCAAAGUUGGUGAGCAACCCAUGUUUCAAUGCCUCAAUGUGCCAAAGAACACAACUAGCGAUGGCAUGGUCGGCCUCUGAAGGGGCGACUUUGUCAGCUCCGCCGGGCUCAACAACAUCCCUUUAUGCUGCCCUUACUGUGAAGAAUAAGGGUGGUUGGGGGCUUGUCAGUGGCUCAGUCAGAUCUGUGCUGAACUUGGAGAGGAGUCAUGUAAUUGUGACAUACUGUAAAACAGCAGCUCUCAUUCAGGGCUGACCUGUCCCAAGCAAAUGCCCUGGGCCAGCUGCAGCGUGGAGCCCCAGACAAGGCACUGCUUUCUUUGAGGCCCAGACUUUCUAACUUGCCAAUGACCAGCCUGCCUCUGGAAUACUUUGUGAUUAUACAGUCACCCUCUUGAAUUGCAGAAGAUCUACAGACCAUGCCUCUUUAUUAUUAGAUUAUAUGUAAUGCCAUCAUUUAAAAGCAAUGCAUCGGCUAUGGGAUGGCUCUGUGUUUGUUUACCUCAUCAUACCCAUAGAUAUUCCUCAAAAUAUGUUACUGGGAUUUUUACCUUUGAAUUGCUAAUUGUAUUGAAUUGUCAGAGUAAUAAAAAUCAAUGUAAAAAUAAAGUGUUUUUUUCGCCUAGAUGACAGGAAGAAGACAGUGAAGAAAAAAUGAUUUAAGAUCAUCUGCAUAUUUUUGUCAUUAAAUGGAGUUUACAAAUCA